Molecule: ribosomal RNA, 324 nt
Filed under: Pseudomonas aeruginosa
Lineage: Bacteria; Pseudomonadati; Pseudomonadota; Gammaproteobacteria; Pseudomonadales; Pseudomonadaceae
Description: bacterial SSU rRNA
Rfam family: Bacterial small subunit ribosomal RNA
Source: RNAcentral
UGGUGCCUUCGGGAACUCAGACACAGGUGCUGCAUGGCUGUCGUCAGCUCGUGUUGUGAGAUGUUGGGUUAAGUCCCGUAACGAGCGCAACCCUUGUCCUUAGUUACCAGCACUUCGGGUGGGCACUCUAAGGAGACUGCCGGUGACAAACCGGAGGAAGGUGGGGAUGACGUCAAGUCAUCAUGGCCCUUACGGCCAGGGCUACACACGUGCUACAAUGGUCGGUACAAAGGGUUGCCAAGCCGCGAGGUGGAGCUAAUCCCAUAAAACCGAUCGUAGUCCGGAUCGCAGUCUGCAACUCGACUGCGUGAAGUCGGAAUCGCU